RNAcentral lists this ribosomal RNA (439 nucleotides) under uncultured bacterium. RNAcentral's name for it is "partial 16S ribosomal RNA". It matches the Rfam family "Bacterial small subunit ribosomal RNA", at positions 339 to 795 of the family's 1533-position model. The record is from RNAcentral.
CUACGGGGGGCUGCAGUGAGGAAUAUUGCACAAUGGGGGGAACCCUGAUGCAGCAACGCCGCGUGGAGGAUGACGCAUUUCGGUGUGUAAACUCCUUUUAUAUGUCAAGAAAAUGACGGUAGCAUAUGAAUAAGCACCGGCUAACUCCGUGCCAGCAGCCGCGGUAAUACGGAGGGUGCAAGCGUUACUCGGAAUCACUGGGCGUAAAGGACGCGUAGGCGGGUUGGAAAGUCAGGUGUGAAAUCCUACAGCUUAACUGUAGAACUGCACUUGAAACUUCUAAUCUAGAGCAUGGGAGGGGGAGAUGGAAUUAGUGGUGUAGGGGUAAAAUCCGUAGAUAUCACUAGGAGUACCUAAAGCGAAGGCGAUCUCCUGGAACAUUACUGACGCUAAGGCGUGAAAGCGUGGGGAGCAAACAGGAUUAGAUACCCCGGUAGUC